Brienomyrus brachyistius is the source of this 4137-nucleotide long non-coding RNA. RefSeq lists it as uncharacterized. The transcript is spliced from 2 exons. The record is from RefSeq and is a predicted model, not a curated record. Lineage: Eukaryota; Metazoa; Chordata; Actinopteri; Osteoglossiformes; Mormyridae.
UAUACUAUCUGGUUGUGAUUCAUCUUAAUUUAUCUUAAUUUAUUUUAUUUCUUUGUGUAAAAUUGUCCAAUGCCUGAUUUGCCAAACCCAGACUCGUCCAUCAGACUGCCAGGCAGAGAAGCCUAAUUCGUCACUCCACAGAACACAUUUCCACUGCUCCAGUGUGCAGUGCUUCAUAUCACUCCAUCUGACGCUUUGGCCUUGCACUUGGUGAUGUGAGGCGUGCAUGCAGCUGCUCAGUCAUGGAAGCCCAUUACUUGAAGCUCCCAGCGCAGUUUUUGCUGGAGUCAAUGCCAGAGGGGGUUUGGAACUCUGCAGUUACCAAGUCAACAGAGCGUUGGCGACUUUUACGCACUGUGCGCCUCAGCACUCGCCGAUCUCAUUCUGUUAGUUUACGUGGUCUGCUACUUCACGGCUGAGUUUCUGUUGCUCUUAAACACUUACGGUGUUUUAUUUCCGUAUAUAGUCUGACGCUUGGGUUCGGCAUGCAUCUUCUGGACUACUUAGUGCGAUAGUUUUGGCAGGGGAUCCAGCAGCCUGGAAAUUCUGUUCUGAAUCACGGGGCUUUUGCCACAGAGGACUCAUUCUCAUGUUUAUAUAUAUAAAAAAAUCAUCCAUUGUGUUAUUUAUAAGCUAAGAAGGAUAUAGCUUUCUCAGCACCUAUCUUUUUAUGAUUUUUUUCUUUGUUAGAGGGAUUUUUCUAAGCUUCUUUUUAGGCUGUUCUGCUCACAGAUGGCUUAUACCGGAAUGCUCGAGAUCUAUCAGAUCUUUCUGUUGCCACUGUAUCAGUGAAAACAAAGGGCCAAAAUCGGAGUCCGAGGUUGACUAACUUAUGGAGCCACUGAGAGUUUACGUGAUGGAAAAGCAAUUCUAUAUAAACAGACUGAUUGCAAUUACAUUUAGUUAAAUUUUACUAAUAUAUGAGUUUUGACGAUGAUUACGAUGCAAACAAUUUCUCCAAUGCAGGGAUUUGUCUUUCAGUGCUAUCUCUAAGGAGUUGGACAUACAGUACAUAUCAAACAUCCAGACCCAUAGUUAUACAGGGUGGGGCAAGAGUACGUUUUUACAGUACUGAUUGGGUCAUGUUUUGUCUCUUAGGUGUUCAAAAUGUUGUUUGUCAAUGUUGAUACAUUCCUGGCGCCUGUCCCUGACACUGUGACACACUUUAGCACACAAAUCCUGCUUAGCAUCAAUGUCCACAAAUGGUUGCAAGAUGAACUCCUUCAAUUAAUUCUCUGUGUGAGCCUUCCUCUCAAGAUCUUCUCUACCACGCCCCCCAAAAAAAAGCCUAUGGGUGUCAGGUUGGGUGAACGUGGUGGCUAGCCAAUGCUGCCAUGUAGCCCAAUCCAACACUGUGGAAAGGUGCUGUUAGGGUAGCUGAAGUGUGUCAGUGUUAGGGACAGGUUCUAGGGAUGUAUCAACAUUGACGGAGGACAUUUCAAACACCUAAGAUAAAUAAAAUAAAUAAAUAAAACCUAUACAUACGUUUAAAAUAACUUGCGAAAUAAAAACUUUAGUGUAAAAUAUAACCUUUACUUUGCAAAAUAAAAACUGUAUACCUAGUUUUGGCCCACCCUGUGUAUUUCUGUCAGAAAACCUACAGUCUCUGGAACAUGUUCUCCUAUCAUCCAUAAAUCAGGUGGAUAAUGGGACCCGGUGGAUCUACUCCUCAUGCAGCUUCAACAUGGUUCUCAGUGUUGGCUAAGACAGCUCUGUAAACACAUGAACAUCUGCUCCACAAGGCCCGAGUCCAGCUGCUUCUGACUGAGUUGGCUCUCGCUGAAGCAGAUCACUUGGGACUGGCUGUCCUGGUUCUCUCUCACUCCAUAGUAGUAUAACAUGGUAAGAAUAUGAAUAUUUCCCAGCUAUAGGAGCUGGUAAGUAAUAGCAGUUAAUGUUAACCGUAGAUUAUAGAUCGCUUAUUAUACACAUUCCACACCAUGGGCAACUCACCUAAUUCAGAUGCCUUUGAGAAAAAACCACACAAACAUAGGUAGAUUUGCCACCUGUCCUAUAUUGAAAAAUAAAAUGCUGUGUCCCCCCCCUCCUCUCCCAAUACGUUCCAUAUUUUGUCAUCGGAAACCCCUCCCCCAAAUAUUAUCUUCUGAAAGAUUUUAAGUAAUGAAUAUGCAAUUAUGAAAAUUGUUCUUAGCUUGCAUUCUUCGAACUAAGCACUGCGAUAUGCUGUAUUUCCAUAUACAGAGCCCAAGCUAUUUAAUAUGAUUGCAACACAGGUUAACAUCUUAAACUCAUGCACUGACUUGCAAAUGACUUGCAAAUGAUUACAGGAGUUCAAGGGAAAAGAAUUUUCAAAAAGGAUUUUGUCUUUAACGCUGCUACAUCUGCAGUGAUCAGAUGUAUUCUGUAAAAAAAAAGGUUACAGCGUUGCAUUAAAAAGGUCAUUGAAUGUCAGUCAAACAGGACAUGGCUAAUAUUCACAAAUGUUUGCAUUGACAGAGGAUGAAAUCAGAAGUGGAUCCCAUUUAAAUAAAUGGUGAUGCAUUCUGUAUAGCUGAUAGAGAAAGUGAUCAAUCAAACAGGUAAAUACCUAUAACAUACAGCCAGCAUUGGGACUCUUGUUUCUGGGCCAUGUGUUCGUAUCUGGGCCCUGCUCCAGUCUUCCCCUGCUUCCUCCGUGUUUUCUCUGGGUACUCCAGUUCUCUCCUGCAGUCCAACUAUAAGAUGUUUGUUUCCAUGGCACACUUAGUGUGUCAUCGUUUGAGUAUCUUAAAAUAGAAUGAUGUUUGCCUUAUGCCCUACAUUUGGAACAGGUCCUGAUUCUAAACCAAUAAAGAGUAGUUACAAUGCAGCAUAAUGUAACUAUUCAUCCAUGGCAUAACACACAACUAAAAGAAAAUGUGCUUCAAAAUGAAGAACCUCCACAGGCUUUUUGGAACAAGCAUAUUCUCCGUAUGGUAAACUUUCUUCCUUUGUCUGUGUUCCUUUUCUCACUGUGUGCUGCAGGUAUCACAGUACUGUUCACUGUUACAAAAUCCCAGACAUGUUUGUACAUUUUUCACUAAUUGACACGUUAAGUAAAAAAAAGUACUGACCUUUUUCUCCUUUUCACUAAGGAAGUAAAUCAACGCCGGACUGAUUUAAGUAAAGGCCAAUGCAUAAAGUUGCUAUUUUGGAAAUGGACAUUUUGAACAGAAAACUCUACAUAUACUAUCAUGACAACUGGCUUUUGUUUCUGUGCUGUAGCAGAAAAGGGUCUUAUGGUGACACAAAAGGACGAUGUUUGUGGGCACAGUAGGACACAAUGCAUUCAUUGUGAAAAUCAUGAAGAUUAUCUCAUCUCAGUGUAACCAGAGAAAUUCUUCCAAUGCCUGUUCCAGGCUUUUGUUUCUUAGCAAGAGCAUUGAUAGACUAGAUUUUAGAAGAUGACAUACAGUGAGGGAAAUAAUUAUUUGACCCCCUGCUGAAUUCUUAAGUUGACCCAUUAAUAAAGAAAUGAGAAGUCUGUCAUUUCACCGGUAUAUUUAUUUAAACUGCAAAAGAUAGAUUAUUAACAAAACAAGCAAGAAAAAAAUCAUGAUGUAACAGUUACAAACCAAUUUGUCAUUUAUCUAAGAAAUAAGUAUUUAAUCCCUUAGAACACAUUCUUUAGUACUUGGUAGAAUAACCAUUAUUUGCAAGCACAGCUGUCUGACGUUUCUUGUAGUUGGUCACCAGGAUUGCAUGCAGAUCAUCAGGAAUUUUCAUCCACCCCUCUUUGCAGACCUCCUUCAAAUUUCUAAGGUUUUUAGGCUGUAACUUGGAUAGAUGAAGCUUCAGUUCCCUCCAUACGGAAUACUAUGGGGUUAAAGUCCAGAGACUGGCUAGGGCUCCCAUGACCUUAAUGUGCUUCUCCUUGAAUCACUCCUUUGUUGCCUUAGCCGUAUGCUUAGGGUUGCUGUCUUGCUGGAAGACCCACUCGCUGAAGGGGUGGCUGAAGGGAGGAGGUUCUCAUUCAAGAUUCUACAGUACAUUGCCUCGUCCAUCUUUCCUUCGAUGUGGUGCAGCCGUCCUGGAUCAAAUACUUAUUUCCCUAGAUAAAUGAGAAAUUGGUUUGUAACUGCUACAUAAUGUUUUUUUCUUGCUUGUUUUGUUAAUAAUCUAUCUUUUGCUGUUUAAAUAAACAUACCAGUGAAAUUA